GACAGCAGUCGCCGCGGUAACACGGAGGAUCCAAGCGUUAUCCGGAAUCAUUGGGUUUAAAGGGUCCGUAGGCGGUCUUGUAAGUCAGUGGUGAAAGCCCAUCGCUCAACGGUGGAACGGCCAUUGAUACUGCAGGACUUGAAUUAUUGGGAAGUAACUAGAAUAUGUAGUGUAGCGGUGAAAUGCUUAGAGAUUACAUGGAAUACCAAUUGCGAAGGCAGGUUACUACCAAUUGAUUGACGCUGAUGGACGAAAGCGUGGGUAGCGAACAGGAUUAGAUACCCCAGUAGUCCCUGUCUCUUAUAC
RNAcentral lists this ribosomal RNA (306 nucleotides) under uncultured bacterium. Its description in RNAcentral is "partial 16S ribosomal RNA". It matches the Rfam family "Bacterial small subunit ribosomal RNA", at positions 507 to 807 of the family's 1533-position model. The record is from RNAcentral.